AAAUCCCAAAAAAAAAAAAAAAAAGACUACCCAAAUUUUGACUUCUUGAACCUCAGUUUCAUUUUAACUUGGAGACAUCUACCUUCUUUUUUGUCUCUAUUUUGAGUCUUAGAAUUGAUUGAUUCAACAUUGAAGCUAAGUGGUGCGAUCCAACAAUGGAGCAAAACAACAACAGCAGCAAAAGCAUCAACGACAUGCUCCCUCCAGAAUUGAUUACUCAAAUCUUAUUGAGACUUUCCGUCAAACACCUUGGGCGCGUCAAGAGUGUUUCCAAGUUUUGGAACAAUCUCAUCUCCAACCCCAAUUUCGCAAAAUCUCAUUUUGAACUCUCUCUGGCACCCACCCAUAGAUGCAUCUUCAUCCCAGAAGUUACAACUGAUCAUCGAUCCAUUGACCUCGAUGCACUAUCCCAUGCUACUUAUGCUGACGCUGCCGCUGCUACAAUAACAAAGAUUCCUCCUUCUCCUGCUGCUGCUGAUAUCGAUUCUGAUCCUGAUUAUGAUGAUCACAUCGUUCUUGGAUCAUGUCGAGGAUUCAUAGCUUUAUACCAAUACCCACACUUUUUCGUCAUAUGGAACCCGUUAACCGGAUCCCACAGAAUUAUUUCAUGCCAUCAUAUUGCGAAAAUUUCCGAUAUGGCUACUAAUUGUUAUUACUCCUUUGGCGGCGAGCUUCUCUUUGGAUUUGGGUACGACACAACCAGAGAUGAUUACUUGAUAGUUUUAGCUUGGAAUGAUGAAAAGAAGAAUCAAGAAGGCCACUUUGAUUUCUUCUCCUUGAGGUCCAAUUCUUGGAGUAGUUUUAAGGAGGAUGUUAUUAUUCCUGACCAACUAAAGAGGAGGAAAAAGUGGGCACCUUCGGUGUUCUUUAACGGGGCUAUUCAUUGGUUGAAUCAUGACGGUGAUUAUGAUGCUAUUGUUACUAUUUUUGUCUUUGAUACUAACAAAAGGAAGGGUUUUUUGGAGAUUCCAGUGCCAGAACAAGUAGGAAGGUAUUACCCUUGCCAUCUGACGGUACUGGGAGGGUGUUUAGCCUUGUAUUAUGAAAAAGAUGAUGAUGAUUAUGAUAAAUCUGUGAUAUGGGUGAUGAAAGAGUAUAAUGUGCAGUCUUCUUGGACUUCCUAUGAGAUUCCUAGCAGUUACUUUGAGCCUGUGUGCUUGUCUGAGGAUGGCGAUUUUAUAGGAUUCGAUGAAUCACCUGGAAUGUCGAAAUAUAAUGUUAGAGGAGAGAAGCUCAUGCGUUUUGAUCGUUCUUGUAAUCAAAUUGGGUACGUUUCGUAUACUGUUUAUACAGAGAGUCUCUUGAUGCUGCCUAAUGAUGGCUCUGAGGAGAAAGAAGGGAGUUCUUCAGUUAAAGGGACUGAAGAGAGCACCAACUUAGCCACUUGAUUGUUGUUUUAAGCUAAGUACAAUUUUUUUUUCAUAUAACACAAAAAUAAGGAGAAGGCGGUGGUGGCAGCGACAACAGAGACAGCGCAGCGAGGAUGACAACAACAUUGAAGAAAGAAGCGCGCAGAAGGAUAUGACGAAGGAGGAGAAAGAGGAAGAAUAAGAGCAGGAAGGAAAAAACUGAAAUCAAACACCUGUAUAGAAGAAAACUAGUGACAAAAUUAGAAAUGCACAUAGUAGAAGAAAGUUAAAUGGACAAUCAAAUCUAAUAAU
Molecule: non-coding RNA, 1661 nt
Organism: Arachis ipaensis
Lineage: Eukaryota; Viridiplantae; Streptophyta; Magnoliopsida; Fabales; Fabaceae
Source: RefSeq, a predicted model, not a curated record